Molecule: ribosomal RNA, 434 nt
Filed under: uncultured bacterium
Lineage: Bacteria
Description: partial 16S ribosomal RNA
Rfam family: Bacterial small subunit ribosomal RNA
Source: RNAcentral
AGCGAACGCUGGCGGCAGGCCUAACACAUGCAAGUCGAACGAACCUUUCGGGGUUAGUGGCGGACGGGUGAGUAACACGUGGGAACGUGCCUUUAGGUUCGGAAUAACUCAGGGAAACUUGUGCUAAUACCGAAUGUGCUCUUCGGGGGAAAGAUUAAUCGCCUUUAGAGCGGCCCGCGUCUGAUUAGCUAGUUGGUUGAGGUAAUGGCUCACCAAGGCGACGAUCAGUAGCUGGUCUGAGAGGAUGAUCAGCCACAUUGGGACUGAGACACGGCCCAAACUCCUACGGGAGGCGGCAGUGGGGAAUCUUGCGCAAUGGGCGAAAGCCUGACGCAGCCAUGCCGCGUGAAUGAUGAAGGUCUUAGGAUUGUAAAAUUCUUUCACCGGGGACGAUAAUGACGGUACCCGGAGAAGAAGCCCCGGCUAACUUCGUG